UACGUAGGUGGCAAGCGUUGUCCGGAUUUACUGGGCGUAAAGAGCGCGCAGGCGGUCGUGCAAGUCGCGUGUGAAAGCCCCCGGCUCAACUGGGGAGGGUCACGCGAUACUGCUCGACUCGAAGGCAGGAGAGGGAAGUGGAAUUCCCGGUGUAGUGGUGAAAUGCGUAGGUAUCGGGAGGAACACCAGUGGCGAAGGCGACUUCCUGGCCUGUUCUUGACGCUGAGGCGCGAAAGCUAGGGUAGCAAACGGG
Molecule: ribosomal RNA, 253 nt
Filed under: uncultured bacterium
Lineage: Bacteria
Description: partial 16S ribosomal RNA
Rfam family: Bacterial small subunit ribosomal RNA
Source: RNAcentral